This 205-nucleotide long non-coding RNA is filed under the name Setaria italica (foxtail millet). RNAcentral describes it as "long non-coding RNA (SITA_LNC003893)". Lineage: Eukaryota; Viridiplantae; Streptophyta; Magnoliopsida; Poales; Poaceae. The record is from RNAcentral.
CCGCAUGAUUCGAUCUUUCUUUGAAGUUUGAUUUUGGUUCUGCAGAUAGCAGUCCAUCUCCACUAUGUGCUAUAUUCGGUUCUUUUUCCUACGAUUAGAUUCAACCUUGAGCGGGUCCUACGAGAAAGGUUCGGUACUUCCGUGGAUUGAGGUGUUCCCGUACUCCUAACCCGCUAAUGCACUCUAGAUAUACAUCGAAAAUUUA